This 608-nucleotide ribosomal RNA is filed under the name Melampsora sp. HMNWFC-T043. RNAcentral describes it as "eukaryotic LSU rRNA". It matches the Rfam family "Eukaryotic large subunit ribosomal RNA", at positions 61 to 649 of the family's 3401-position model. The record is from RNAcentral. RNAcentral also lists the same sequence under 1 other name. Lineage: Eukaryota; Fungi; Basidiomycota; Pucciniomycetes; Pucciniales; Melampsoraceae.
GAAAAUAACUAUGAUUCCCUUAGUAACGGCGAGUGAACAGGGAGAAGCCCAAAUUUGUAAUCUGGCACUUUUUACGAGUGUCCGAGUUGCUAAUUUGUAGAACUGUUAUCCGUGCUGGACCAUGCUACAAUGUCUGUUGAAAAGCAGCAUCGUUGAAGGUGAAAAUCCUGUAGAUGAUAUGGACUACCAGUACUCUUGUGAUACGGUUUCUAAGAGUCGAGUUGUUUGGGAAUGCAGCUCAAAGUGGGUGGUAAAUUCCAUCUAAGGCUAAAUAUAAGUGAGAGACCGAUAGCAAACAAGUACCGUGAGGGAAAGAUGAAAAGAACUUUGAAAAUAGAGUUAACAGUACGUGAAAUUGCUGAAAGGUAAACGUUUGAAGUUAGUUUUGUAUUCGUUGGAUCAGCUUCGCAAGGAGUGUAUUCUGAUGAUAAGCAAGUCAACAUCAGUCUAUGAGUGUUGGAGAAGGGUUUUGAGAAUGUAGCAAUUUAAUUGUGUUAUAGCUUGAGACUUGGAUACGAUGCUUUGGAUUGAGGAACGCGUAGUAAGCUUUGAGCGGAUUCGAAAGGAUCUCCUUACUAUGGAUGUUGGUGAAAUAACUUUAAGCGACC